UUCGGAGGGUGCAAGCGUUAUCCGGAUUUAUUGGGUUUAAAGGGUCCGUAGGUGGGACGUUAAGUCAGUGGUGAAAGCCUGCAGCUCAACUGUAGAAUUGCCAUUGAUACUGACAUCCUUGAGUACAAUUGAAGUUGGCGGAAUGUGUGGUGUAGCGGUGAAAUGCUUAGAUAUCACACAGAACACCGAUAGCGAAGGCAGCUAACUAAGUUGUUACUGACACUGAGGGACGAAAGCGUGGGGAGCAAACAGG
Molecule: ribosomal RNA, 253 nt
Filed under: uncultured bacterium
Lineage: Bacteria
Description: partial 16S ribosomal RNA
Rfam family: Bacterial small subunit ribosomal RNA
Source: RNAcentral